Molecule: unclassified non-coding RNA, 440 nt
Filed under: Hevea brasiliensis (rubber tree)
Lineage: Eukaryota; Viridiplantae; Streptophyta; Magnoliopsida; Malpighiales; Euphorbiaceae
Source: RNAcentral
AAUUAAUUCAAGCUACACUGCAAGUCUUACAUCAAUACUCACAGUUCAGCGGUUAUUUUCUCCUAUCAGUGGGAUUGAAAGCUUGAAGGAAGGUGAUGAACCCAUAGGAUACCAAGUGGGUUCUUUUGUUGAAUAUUAUUUGAGCGAAGAACUUGGAAUAUCUAAAUCUAGGCUUGUUGCCUUAGGAUCACCUGAAGCAUAUGCUAAAGCACUCCAACUUGGUCCUAAAAAGAAGGGGGGUGUUGCUGCUGUUGUUGAUGAACUUCCUUACGUUGAACACUUCCUCUCAACCCAGUGUGCAUUCAGGAUUGUGGGUCAAGAAUUUACAAAAAGUGGCUGGGGCUUUGCAUUUCCACGGGACUCUCCUUUAGCUGUCGACAUGUCGACUGCAAUUCUAGCACUAUCGGAAAGUGGUGAUCUUCAAAGGAUCCAUGACAAGU